GGCUGUUAUGUUGGUUUUCUCAUGGUUCAAGAAAAACGGCAGAGCCAUUGCCAUACAGCACCAGAUACGUGGCAUGCAUACCAAGCAAAGAGACUGAAAGAUACAUAAAAUCUCUUAACCAAUUAAAACCUUGUCAACUUGGAGCUGCGUUGCUAUAAAGACAAGGUGAAAUGUCACCAUCUUGCUAUCUUAGCCGACAUUUUUGUGCAUUAUAAUUACCGGAAAUUGAUCAAUUAUUCUAGUUUGGUAUGUACAUGAUGUUGAAAAUGGUAUUCUUCUUGUAUUAGUUAUAUGUCAUUUGACAGCGAGGUUUCUUAUUAGCAUCUCCUUCACCUUCUAGGUCAACAAUGCCAACUCAGAUCUUUCA
Molecule: long non-coding RNA, 367 nt
Organism: Prunus persica (peach)
Lineage: Eukaryota; Viridiplantae; Streptophyta; Magnoliopsida; Rosales; Rosaceae
Exons: 2
Source: RefSeq, a predicted model, not a curated record